Molecule: unclassified non-coding RNA, 304 nt
Filed under: Hevea brasiliensis (rubber tree)
Lineage: Eukaryota; Viridiplantae; Streptophyta; Magnoliopsida; Malpighiales; Euphorbiaceae
Source: RNAcentral
UAGGUGCUUAGCACUCGAGAAGGUGGCAGAGUCGCUUGAAUUGCCUUGCAAGUAUUAUUCAUUGGGAUGUACUGAGAUAUUCCCAUACUACAGUAAACUUAAGCACGAGGCUUUGUGCAAUUAUAGACCCUAUAGUUGCCCAUAUGCUGGUUCGGAAUGCUCUGCUGUUGGGGACAUUCCUUUCCUUGUUGCCCAUCUGAGGGAUGAUCAUAAGGUGGAUAUGCACACGGGCUGCACAUUUAACCAUCGCUAUGUGAAAUCCAAUCCAAGGGAAGUGGAAAAUGCCACUUGGAUGCUUACUGUG